UAGAUUUUUCAGGUCAUGUAAAAUAUCUA
RNAcentral lists this non-coding RNA (29 nucleotides) under Mus musculus (house mouse). Lineage: Eukaryota; Metazoa; Chordata; Mammalia; Rodentia; Muridae. The record is from RNAcentral.